GCUGCGGUAAUACAUGGGGGGCAAGCGUUAUCCGGAUUUAUUGGGCGUAAAGGGUGCGUAGGCGGUUAAAUAAGUCUAUGGUAUAAGUUCAACGCUUAACGUUGUGAUGCUAUAGAAACUGUUUGACUAGAGUUGGAUAGAGGCAAGUGGAAUUCCAUGUGUAGCGGUAAAAUGCGUAAAUAUAUGGAGGAACACCAGUAGCGAAGGCGGCUUGCUGGGUCUUAACUGACGCUGAGGCACGAAAGCGUGGGGAGCAAACAGG
RNAcentral lists this ribosomal RNA (262 nucleotides) under Candidatus Phytoplasma prunorum. RNAcentral describes it as "partial 16S ribosomal RNA". It matches the Rfam family "Bacterial small subunit ribosomal RNA", at positions 514 to 776 of the family's 1533-position model. Lineage: Bacteria; Bacillati; Mycoplasmatota; Mollicutes; Acholeplasmatales; Acholeplasmataceae. The record is from RNAcentral.